Molecule: transfer RNA, 69 nt
Filed under: Pangasianodon gigas (Mekong giant catfish)
Lineage: Eukaryota; Metazoa; Chordata; Actinopteri; Siluriformes; Pangasiidae
Also listed under: 1 other name
Description: tRNA-Arg
Rfam family: tRNA
About the family: Transfer RNA (tRNA) molecules are approximately 80 nucleotides in length.
Source: RNAcentral
AGGUAUUUAGUUUAAUAAAAACACUUGAUUUCGGCUCAAAUACUUAUGGUUAAAACCCAUAACUGCCUU